Molecule: transfer RNA, 74 nt
Filed under: Clostridiaceae bacterium
Lineage: Bacteria; Bacillati; Bacillota; Clostridia; Eubacteriales; Clostridiaceae
Description: tRNA-Glu
Rfam family: tRNA
About the family: Transfer RNA (tRNA) molecules are approximately 80 nucleotides in length. Their secondary structure includes four short double-helical elements and three loops (D, anti-codon, and T loops).
Source: RNAcentral
GGCCCUGUGGUCAAGUGGUUUACGACACCGGCCUUUCAAGCCGGAGAUGGCGGGUUCGAUUCCCCCUGGGGUCA